RNAcentral lists this ribosomal RNA (429 nucleotides) under Pseudomonadota bacterium. Its description in RNAcentral is "Proteobacteria bacterium partial 16S ribosomal RNA". It matches the Rfam family "Bacterial small subunit ribosomal RNA", at positions 355 to 776 of the family's 1533-position model. The record is from RNAcentral. Lineage: Bacteria; Pseudomonadati; Pseudomonadota.
UGGGGAAUAUUGGACAAUGGGCGAAAGCCUGAUCCAGCCAUGCCGCGUGUGUGAAGAAGGUCUUCGGAUUGUAAAGCACUUUAAGUUGGGAGGAAGGGCAGUAAGCGAAUACCUUGCUGUUUUGACGUUACCGACAGAAUAAGCACCGGCUAACUCUGUGCCAGCAGCCGCGGUAAUACAGAGGGUGCAAGCGUUAAUCGGAAUUACUGGGCGUAAAGCGCGCGUAGGUGGUUCGUUAAGUUGAAUGUGAAAGCCCCGGGCUCAACCUGGGAACUGCAUCCAAGACUGGCGAGCUAGAGUAGGGCAGAGGGUGGUGGAAUUUCCUGUGUAGCGGUGAAAUGCGUAGAGAUAGGAAGGAACACCAGUGGCGAAGGCGACCCCCUGGGCUCAUACUGACACUGAGGUGCGAAAGCGUGGGGAGCAAACAGG